AAAAGCUUGGUCCUGGCUUUUCUGUCAUCUCCGGCUAAAUUUACACAUGCAAGUAUCCGCACCCCUGUGAGAAUGCCCCACAGUCCCCCUCCCCGGGGACAAGGAGCUGGUAUCAGGCACACUACAUGCUCGCCCACGACACCUUGCUCAGCCACACCCUCAAGGGAAUUCAGCAGUGAUAAACAUUAAGCCAUAAGUGAAAACUUGACUUAGUUACAGCCCCCAGGGCCGGUAAAACUCGUGCCAGCCACCGCGGUUAUACGAGAGGCCCAAGCUGACAGCCCCCGGCGUAAAGAGUGGUUAAGUUAACCCCAACAUGACUAAAGUCGAACGCCCCCAAGACCGUUAUACGUGUUCGGGGGUAUGAAGCCCAAUUACGAAAGUGGCUUUAAAACACCUGACCCCACGAAAGCUGUGAAACAAACUGGGAUUAGAUACCCCACUAUGCUCAGCCCUAAACUUUGAUAGUCUAAUUACACCCACUAUCCGCCUGGGUACUACGAGCUUUAGCUUAAAACCCAAAGGACUUGGCGGUGCUUAAGAUCCACCUAGAGGAGCCUGUUCUAUAACCGAUACCCCCC
This 581-nucleotide ribosomal RNA is filed under the name Chelon bandialensis. RNAcentral's name for it is "partial 12S ribosomal RNA". It matches the Rfam family "Bacterial small subunit ribosomal RNA", at positions 7 to 962 of the family's 1533-position model. The record is from RNAcentral. Lineage: Eukaryota; Metazoa; Chordata; Actinopteri; Mugiliformes; Mugilidae.